RNAcentral lists this ribosomal RNA (468 nucleotides) under uncultured bacterium. RNAcentral's name for it is "partial 16S ribosomal RNA". It matches the Rfam family "Bacterial small subunit ribosomal RNA", at positions 28 to 507 of the family's 1533-position model. The record is from RNAcentral.
GACGAACGCUGGCGGCGUGCUUAACACAUGCAAGUCGAACGGAAAGGCCCUGCUUUUGUUGGGUGCUCGAGUGGCGAACGGGUGAGUAACACGUGAGUAACCUGCCCUUGACUUUGGGAUAACUUCAGGAAACUGGGGCUAAUACCGGAUAGGAGCUCCUGCUGCAUGGUGGGGGUUGGAAAGUUUCGGCGGUUGUGGAUGGACUCGAGGCUUAUCCGCUUGUUGGUGGGGUAGUGGCUUACCAAGGUUUUGACGGGUAGCCGGCCUGAGAGCGUUACCGGCGACAUUGGGACUGAGAGACGGCCCAGACUCCUACGGGAGGCAGCAGUGGGGAAUAUUGCACAAUGGGCGGAAGCCUGAUGCAGAAACGCCGCGUGCGGGAUGACGGCCUUCUGGUUGUAAACCGCUGUCGCCGGUGACGAAGCGGGAGUGACGGUAAUGGGUAAAGAAGCACCGGCUAACUACGUG